UUAUUUAAUAAUAUUUUUAUUUUGGAAAGUUUAUAAGAGUGAUGAUCGUUAAAUAUUACAAAUUUAUUUAUACGAAAUGCUGGAAUCAAUUUUACUCUUUUCCCAUUUUCCUCUUUUUUUGAAUAUAAUUGUUGGAGAAAACGAUUACAGGUAAAAUCGAAGCAUUAAAAUUCUACAGAUUUUUCCAUUAGAUCCAUGGAAAAUGAUUUUCAAUUAUUCGAACUUGUUCGUUUGAAUUUUUAGCUUAAUGAUGAUUCACCACAAAAUCUGAUGUAAUCUUUUGAUGAAUCUAUGAAAUUUAUAAUAAGUCUACAAACAGGAAAAGUAAUUUUAAUUUUCCUUAACAUUGUAUCCACUGAUAAGCACUGCGAUUGUUAUUAGUAACGUUCUACUCUUUUCGCAGAUUAAAGGAGGUUCUUAAAGAAAUGAUUUAAGAGGAACACACCCGGUGUGGUAUUUAAACGACGAAAGAUUCCCCCUUUUCGUAUAUAGGUGUUCACUUGUGCGGCAGCCACGUUGAAAAGUGUUUUCCGCAUUAUGAAGAUACGAGGUUAUAUUAUUACGGAGUUGCGAGCAGACGCCCAAGCGCGCAACACUUUCCCCCUUGCGAGAGCUAAUUAAGCGCGCCUUGAUGUAAUAACGACCUAAAUGCAGAGAGAUGGAGAGACUCUUAUUCCGAAAAUUAAGUGCACUAAGGUCGACCCAAUGAAAAUCACCGAUGGACUAUCCUUUACCCCUUCGUCUUUCUUCGCUUGGAACUUUGCUAAUGACUUCAGACGAUUAUUGUAAGUAUUUGAUCUUUCAAAUGAAAGGAUUAUAAGGAAUGUUCGUCCUAGUCAUUUUAAUUAAUCGUUUCAUUCGCAAAAUGACGUCUCGUUCUCGGUAAUUUCUAAUGGACAGAUAGGAGCGCUUGUAGGAACAAAGUCAAAUACCAAAGUUGCAAAUCGCUACGUCCGAGAUGGUCGAAGCGGACGGUCUUAAUUAUAACGUCUCAAGUAACGAGGGUUGGCAUGGGUCGCGACGUUAAUAUAUGGGUAAGAGAACCUAAACACAGCCGUGCCAUUGUAUGUACCGCGGUGUUGGAUCUGCCAAGGCAUUAAUAGUCUCACGUGACGUAAUUAACUCGCGACCACCGAAUUUCCGGCGUUAUAACGUGAUGUAUACUGUGGCAAAGAGGAAAAUCGAAAAUUCCUCUAGCGAUUAUGAAUCAAGUAGGAUUCGUACGGCCACCUGUCGCUCGAAAUACUGAUCGAUGUUAUCCAAGUUGAUCCUAACGAUAUAACCAUGGAAGACUUAAACCUUAUGGACUACACGUGAACGUUUUACAAAAGAUACGAAAAUACGAAACAUGCGGUAAAUGUAGACGCGUGGUGCUCUAAUUUAUCUUGUAAAUAGGAUCGAAAGAAGAACGCUUAAGGUAACAAAGAUUAUCGUAGAAAGC
Polistes canadensis is the source of this 1441-nucleotide long non-coding RNA. RefSeq lists it as uncharacterized. The transcript is spliced from 3 exons. The record is from RefSeq and is a predicted model, not a curated record. Lineage: Eukaryota; Metazoa; Arthropoda; Insecta; Hymenoptera; Vespidae.